ACGAACGCUGGCGGCGUGCUUCACCCCUGCAAGUCGAACGGAAAGGCCCCUUUGGGGGUACUCGAGUGGCGAACGGGUGAGUAACACGUGAGUAACCUGCCCUUGACUUCGGGAUAACUUCAGGAAACUGGGGCUAAUACCGGAUAGGAAUCCUUGCUGCAUGGUGGGGGUUGGAAAGCUUCGGCGGUUUUGGAUGGACUCGCGGCUUAUCAGCUUGUUGGUGGGGUAGUGGCUUACCAAGGCUUUGACGGGUAGCCGGCCUGAGAGGGCGACCGGCCACAUUGGGACUGAGAUACGGCCCAGACUCCUACGGGAGGCAGCAGUGGGGAAUAUUGCACAAUGGGCGGAAGCCUGAUGCAGCAACGCCGCGGGCGGGAUGACGGCCUUCGGGUUGUAAACCGCUUUCAGCAGGGGCGAAGCUUGUGGUGACGGUACCUGCAGAAGAAGCACCGGCUAACUACGUG
Molecule: ribosomal RNA, 464 nt
Filed under: uncultured bacterium
Lineage: Bacteria
Description: partial 16S ribosomal RNA
Rfam family: Bacterial small subunit ribosomal RNA
Source: RNAcentral